GGCGCACGGGUGCGUAACGCGUAUACAAUCUACCUAUUACAGGGGGAUAGCCCAGAGAAAUUUGGAUUAAUACCCCAUGGUAUUAUUAGAUGGCAUCAUUUAGUAAUUAAAACUACGGUGGUAAUAGAUGAGUAUGCGUCCUAUUAGUUAGUUGGUAAGGUAAUGGCUUACCAAGGCAUCGAUAGGUAGGGGUCCUGAGAGGGAGAUCCCCCACACUGGUACUGAGACACGGACCAGACUCCUACGGGAGGCAGCAGUGAGGAAUAUUGGGCAAUGGACGAGAGUCUGACCCAGCCAUGUCGCGUGCAGGAAGACGGCUUUAUGAGUUGUAAACUGCUUUUAUACAGGAAGAAACCCACCGACGUGUUGGUGGCUGACGGUACUGUACGAAUAAAGACCGGCUAACUCCGUGCCAGCAGCCGCGGUAAUACGGAGGGUCUAAGCGUUAUCCGGAAUCAUUGGGUUUAAAGGGUCCGUAGGCGGGCUAAUAAGUCAGAGGUGAAAUCCCACAGCUUAACUGUGGCCCUGCCUUUGAUACUGUUAGUCUUGAGUCAUAAUGAGGUAGAUGGAAUGUGUAGUGUAGCGGUGAAAUGCAUAGAUAUUACACAGAACACCGAUUGCGAAGGCAGUCUACUAAUUAUGUACUGACGCUGAGGGACGAAAGCGUGGGUAGCGAACAGGAUUAGAUACCCUGGUAGUCCACGCCGUAAACGAUGGAUACUA
This 723-nucleotide ribosomal RNA is filed under the name uncultured bacterium. RNAcentral describes it as "bacterial SSU rRNA". It matches the Rfam family "Bacterial small subunit ribosomal RNA", at positions 97 to 818 of the family's 1533-position model. The record is from RNAcentral.